AAGUAUCUAGAAAAUAAAUUUUAUGAUUUUACGAUGUCAUUUGCAUAGUGAACGAAUGGGCUCAAAAUCAACGGCUGAAAAUAAAAAUCUUACAAAAUAUAAUAAUAUGACAUUAAUAUUUUAAAUCAAAGAUAUUGAUCUUGUUUUGUAUAGUAUAAAUUUUCUAUCAAAAUUUCACAUGAUUUGAAUAUUUCUACACCGUUAAACUUGUAAACAGCUCACUACGGCCAUUAAAAUUUGUUGAUUUUGAGCCCAUUCGAUCACUAGGCAAAUGAUAUCGAAAAAUAAUAAAAUUUAUUUUCUAGGUACCUCACUCUAUAUAUAUAUAUAUAUAUCACUACUAGUAAAAUGUACGUUCAAAUGCACGUAAUAAUUAUUAGAAAAAGUUAUAAUUUUUUUAAAUUAUUUUUUAAUUUUAGGCCAUAUUUUAUAUGAUUACCAAAUAUAUAUCUAAAAAAUUUAAAAUAAUAAAUCACACUAUUAAGAAAGAUAUGCUUUAAAUGAUAAAUAAUUAACAAUAAUCUCUAAUGCAAAAAUUACUUUUAAAAUUAAAAAGAAAAAUAAAAUCUGUUAGAAAAUAAAUUUUUGAAAUUAAAUAGAAAAAUAAAAUCCGUUAUCUUAAAAAGAAAAUAUAUUUUGAAAUUAAAUAGAUAAUAUCUAAAAAAGAUAUUUUAAAAUAAAAUAGAAAAAUAUCUUUUAUAGAAUUUUCACACCCAUAAUCUGUUAUAGAAAACUUAUUUUUGAAAUUAAAUAGAAAAAUUUAUAUUUUAGGAUUUUCACAUCAGUAAUCUGUUAUAGAGAACUUACGUAUUCAUUAUUGUUUCUAUUUUUAUUUUUAUUCUUAUAUUUAAAAUUUUUCGUACGGAAAGAGAAAAAUGGGCGCUAAUUUUCCCACCGAAAAAUGGGUCUGUCGACAGACCCAAAUUUAAAUAUACGUGCUUUUAUAUAUAGUAUAGAUUAUUGGCCACUAUAAACGA
RNAcentral lists this long non-coding RNA (977 nucleotides) under Ananas comosus (pineapple). Its description in RNAcentral is "long non-coding RNA (ACOM_LNC006527)". The record is from RNAcentral. Lineage: Eukaryota; Viridiplantae; Streptophyta; Magnoliopsida; Poales; Bromeliaceae.